This 138-nucleotide ribosomal RNA is filed under the name uncultured eukaryote. RNAcentral describes it as "partial 18S ribosomal RNA". It matches the Rfam family "Eukaryotic small subunit ribosomal RNA", at positions 1299 to 1458 of the family's 1831-position model. The record is from RNAcentral.
UGGUGGAGCGAUUUGUCUGGUUAAUUCCGAUAACGAACGAGACUCUGGCCUGUUAAAUAGUUCGCCGAUUCCGAUCUGUCGGCGUUAACUUCUUAGAGGGACAAGUGGCUUUUAGCCACGCGAGAUUGAGCAAUAACA